This is a small nucleolar RNA of Cavia porcellus (domestic guinea pig), 134 nucleotides long. Ensembl annotates it as small nucleolar RNA SNORA8. The record is from Ensembl. NCBI's taxonomy places the organism in Eukaryota, Metazoa, Chordata, Mammalia, Rodentia, Caviidae.
UGCUCUAUAUGGUAUCUGCACGCAACAGUUUAUUCCAACUGAUGUGUUCAUAGAACAAUGCAAUAGAAAUUCAGUAUCUGGCAGUAUUCAUUUUCUUGGUGUUGUGUGUUAAUGGUGUUUCUAUUGAUAUAGUA